CCUACGGGAGGCUGCAGUGAGGAAUAUUGGUCAAUGGACGAGAGUCUGAACCAGCCAAGUAGCGUGAAGGAUGACUGCCCUAUGGGUUGUAAACUUCUUUUAUAUGGGAAUAAAAUGUUCCACGUGUGGGAUUUUGUAUGUACCAUAUGAAUAAGGAUCGGCUAACUCCGUGCCAGCAGCCGCGGUAAUACGGAGGAUCCGAGCGUUAUCCGGAUUUAUUGGGUUUAACGGGAGCGUAGGUGGAUUGUUAAGUCAGUUGUGAAAGUUUGCGGCUCAACCGUAAAAUUGCAGUUGAAACUGGCAGUCUUGAGUACAGUAGAGGUGGGCGGAAUUCGUGGUGUAGCGGUGAAAUGCUUAGAUAUCACGAAGAACUCCGAUUGCGAAGGCAGUUCACUGGACUGCAACUGACACUGAGGCUCGAAAGUGUGGGUAUCAAACAGGAUUAGAUACCCGAGUAGUC
RNAcentral lists this ribosomal RNA (460 nucleotides) under uncultured bacterium. RNAcentral's name for it is "partial 16S ribosomal RNA". It matches the Rfam family "Bacterial small subunit ribosomal RNA", at positions 338 to 795 of the family's 1533-position model. The record is from RNAcentral.